RNAcentral lists this long non-coding RNA (619 nucleotides) under Mus musculus (house mouse). Its description in RNAcentral is "ilncRNA-EC63". The record is from RNAcentral. Lineage: Eukaryota; Metazoa; Chordata; Mammalia; Rodentia; Muridae.
CGGGUUGCUCAGAGCAUCUACGUGGGGAUGAUUCAUCCCACAAUAAAGCCCCUCUCCUGUUGCUCUCCUGCCAGUGUGAUUAGCAAUGGAGGUUUUAGGUGCUCAUAUUUACAAAAGGAAGUCUCUAUAUUCUGUGUAGAAGAAACUCAAAAAGUUCUCUAAAUGAGUAUUGUAUAUGGGAAUUUCCACUUUCAUUUAUGUCGCUUGUACUCCAUGAAAAUGUGCAGCCCUGGCAGUUACCCUGGAUGGUUUUGCUGUCGUGAUUAAAACACAGAUGGAGCUCAUCCCUUCCCUGGGUGUUUGAUUGGCAGACUCUCUGUGAUCAGCACUCUUCUCUGGUGAACACAUCAGCGCCAUCUGCCUUCUGUCUGCCUGGAGAGACUUGCCACAGUAGAGCUUCCUCAGCCUCACAUGAACCGCUGCAAAGGAUGUGCGCUCCUUUUGCUGAAGCCGUCAAAUAAAAAAGCUUUUUCAUGAAAAGCUAAAUAGAAUACAUGAAGAUUUUCACGACAGUAGGCUUCCGGAUUAAUGAAAUAUUCAUUUAAAUUGGACUUGGAGGAUAUGUCACUUCUUUUCUUUGAUUAAAAUAUUUAGAGCAUAACACAAAAUCACUGUGUCU